Trichonephila clavipes is the source of this 77-nucleotide non-coding RNA. The record is from the annotation of a GenBank genome assembly. Lineage: Eukaryota; Metazoa; Arthropoda; Arachnida; Araneae; Nephilidae.
GUCCCUGUAGCGUAAUGAAUAAAUAGCAUGUUGGACAUCUAUUCCAAAGGUCGUGGGUUCGAAUCCCACCUGGGAUG